Molecule: long non-coding RNA, 168 nt
Organism: Sphaeramia orbicularis (orbiculate cardinalfish)
Lineage: Eukaryota; Metazoa; Chordata; Actinopteri; Kurtiformes; Apogonidae
Exons: 4
Source: RefSeq, a predicted model, not a curated record
UUUCAUCAUGAUAUGAUUAAUAGUGAUGUGUGGAUCAAUACUGAAAUAUCGACAUAUCCGAUACCAGAUCUUUAUACUCUAGAAUCAGUUCACAAAACAAAAUAUCGAUACUUCUGAUACUUUGGUCAUUUGAGGUCAUGUAUAUCAGGAACACAGUGGAAAGUAGCU